This 162-nucleotide small nuclear RNA is filed under the name Cavia porcellus (domestic guinea pig). RNAcentral describes it as "7SK RNA". It matches the Rfam family "7SK RNA", at positions 1 to 212 of the family's 331-position model. Rfam says of the family: 7SK was discovered as an abundant small nuclear RNA in the mid-70s but a possible function has only recently been suggested. Two independent studies have found that 7SK RNA binds the CDK9/cyclin T complex (known as elongation factor P-TEFb). P-TEFb activates transcription by phosphorylating the C-terminal domain of RNA polymerase II. The record is from Rfam by way of RNAcentral. Lineage: Eukaryota; Metazoa; Chordata; Mammalia; Rodentia; Caviidae.
GGAAGUAAGGGCAAUCUGGCUGCAGCCUUGGUCACCCCCUGGACUGAUUCCACUGGCUGGGUGGGUGGUGUCCCUUUCCUCCUGUUCCCUUCCAUGUGCAUCCUGCCCAAGGCUGCAUGCUUGGGCGAGGAGGAGAAGGGUGUGGGAGUAGCUGUGCUCCCC